RNAcentral lists this ribosomal RNA (526 nucleotides) under uncultured bacterium. RNAcentral describes it as "bacterial SSU rRNA". It matches the Rfam family "Bacterial small subunit ribosomal RNA", at positions 95 to 606 of the family's 1533-position model. The record is from RNAcentral.
GCGGCGGAUGGGUGAGUAACACGUGGGCAACCUGCCUGUAAGAUCGGGAUAACACCGGGAAACCGGCGCUAAUACCGGAUAAUUCUUCGUGCCACAUGGUAUGAAGGUAAAAGACGGCUUCUGCUGUCACUUACAGAUGGGCCCGUGGCGCAUUAGCUAGUUGGUGGGAUAAAAGCCUACCAAGGCGACGAUGCGUAGCCGACCUGAGAGGGUGAUCGGCCACACUGGGACUGAGACACGGCCCAGACUCCUACGGGAGGCAGCAGUAGGGAAUCUUCCGCAAUGGACGAAAGUCUGACGGAGCAACGCCGCGUGAGUGAUGAAGGUUUUCGGAUCGUAAAACUCUGUUGUUAGGGAAGAACACGUAUCGUUCGAAUAGGGCGGUACCUUGACGGUACCUAACCAGAAAGCCCCGGUUAACUACGUGCCAGCAGCCGCGGUAAUACGUAGGGGGCAAGCGUUGUCCGGAAUUAUUGGGCGUAAAGCGCGCGCAGGCGGUCUUUUAAGUCUGAUGUGAAAGCCCACG